CAGUAGCCACGGGAAUACGGAGGGCGCGAGCGUUACCCGGAUUUACUGGGCGUAAAGGGCGUGUAGGCGGCCUGGGGCGUCCCAUGUGAAAGGCCACGGCUCAACCGUGGAGGAGCGUGGGAUACGCUCAGGCUAGAGGGUGGGAGAGGGUGGUGGAAUUCCCGGAGUAGCGGUGAAAUGCGCAGAUACCGGGAGGAACGCCGAUGGCGAAGGCAGCCACCUGGUCCACUUCUGACGCUGAGGCGCGAAAGCGUGGGGAGCAAACCGGAUUAGAUACCCCUGUAGUCCCUGUCUCUUAUAC
RNAcentral lists this ribosomal RNA (301 nucleotides) under uncultured bacterium. RNAcentral describes it as "partial 16S ribosomal RNA". It matches the Rfam family "Bacterial small subunit ribosomal RNA", at positions 509 to 807 of the family's 1533-position model. The record is from RNAcentral.